GAUGAAGAACGCAGCGAAAUGCGAUACGUAAUGUGAAUUGCAGAAUUCAGUGAAUCAUCGAGUCUUUGAACGCACAUUGCGCCCCCUGGUAUUCCGGGGGGCAUGCCUGUCCGAGCGUCAUUGCUGCCCUCAAGCACGGCUUGUGUGUUGGGCCUCCGUCCUCCUCCCGGGGGACGGGCCCGAAAGGCAGCGGCGGCACCGCGUCCGGUCCUCGAGCGUAUGGGGCUUUGUCACCCGCUCUGUAGGCCCGGCCGGCGCUUGCCGAUCAACCCAAAUUUUUUAUCCAGGUUGACCUCGGAUCAGGUAGGGAUACCCGCUGAACUUAAGCAUAUCAAUAAGCGGAGGA
This 346-nucleotide unclassified non-coding RNA is filed under the name soil metagenome. RNAcentral's name for it is "partial contains 5.8S ribosomal RNA, internal transcribed spacer 2, and large subunit ribosomal RNA". The stretch from base 1 to 120 matches the Rfam family "5.8S ribosomal RNA", at positions 35 to 154 of the family's 154-position model. The record is from RNAcentral.